RNAcentral lists this long non-coding RNA (283 nucleotides) under Nicotiana benthamiana. Its description in RNAcentral is "long non-coding RNA (NBEN_LNC002946)". Lineage: Eukaryota; Viridiplantae; Streptophyta; Magnoliopsida; Solanales; Solanaceae. The record is from RNAcentral.
GGAACACAAGCUUUGGUCUUCUGCCAAAAGCAAUUCAGUUGGUCCUUGCAUUUGACCACUUCACACUCAAAUUACUUAAAAAUGAAUACUUUUAUGAGUCCCCAAUUGUAUAAUUGAGCUUCAUAUGUUUAAAAUGAUUUCUUUCUUCUCCAACAAAGUAAUCAAGAAAGAGACAGAAGGAAACAAUAAGUGUUUGAGAUGAUUCUCUCAAAUUAAAAAAACCAAAGCUCACAAUUCCACUUUGCUCCAACACCAAUCAUACAUAAGCUUCAGCCAUUGUAAG